Molecule: long non-coding RNA, 7024 nt
Filed under: Mytilus galloprovincialis (Mediterranean mussel)
Lineage: Eukaryota; Metazoa; Mollusca; Bivalvia; Mytilida; Mytilidae
Source: RNAcentral
CCUAUGUGGAGAUAGAUUUGUACGCUUUUAUUUACAUUUAUCUGCAAAAGAAAAUACACGUCGUGCUCAGUUGUUGAAGUGGCUCUCUUCCCAGUCCUUCAGAGCACACAUAACGUCUAAAACGUAAAAAAAAACAUGUGAAAGGUUUGCAAAAUAAUGCAUUGUAGCAAUGAAAACAUACAUGAUCAACUCUAAAUGCAAAAUAACAUUUAAAACUAGGAAAGGAGGCUAAACCCCCCCCCCCCCUUCUUUUCCUUUUCCAACUACAAAAUGUGAUUUGGUUCAAAAUAGUCCGACAAUAAAUUCUUUUCAUGUGUAUUUAUCAUGUCAGUGUUCAUAGGAGGUGACCAAAUGAUUUCUUGCGGCGUCAAGAAAGUCUUAAAAAUAUUGUUAUGGAUCGUGCAUGUAUGAGGGGGGAUAGGGCCUUUAUCAGGACUCCAGGAUCUGGUGUUUUUAGGCUCAGGGUUUCGGGAUCUAUUAAGAGAUACAGGAAUUCUUUUUUUGAAUUACUGGAUGUCAGAAUUUAAAUUUAUUUAAAUUCGGGAUUUCAUGUUUAAGGGAUCAGGACCCCUCUUACCCCUGGUCAUGUAUGAGGGUGAUACUUGUAAUCCCUGGGAAAUCGGGAAAUCACAAAUCGUUAAAAAAAUUGGCGAAUGACGUUUAUAAUAGUAAUUUUUGGUGCAUGACUAUAAAAAAGUGCACAUUUCUUUAGGUGAUAUCAAAAUCAAUUAAUUUUGACACUGUCAAGAGUGGAUAAAUAUCGUAUUGCAAAAGAUUAUGUGGUGAAAUCUGUUUCUCUGUCUUCAUGUCGUCACAAUGGGAAUUUCAGAUAACAGCCUGAAAAUUUGACGUCAUAAUCAAAUAUUGACCAAUGAACAACUAAGAUCAAACUAACCACACAAUAGCCUGAAACUAACCACAUAAUAACCAGAUAAUAGCCUGAAAAUUUGACGUCAUAAUCAAAUAUUGACCAAUGAACAACUAAGAUCAAACUAACCACACCUAGAUUAAAUGAAAAUAAUCAUCAGGUCGGGAAUGCCAUAAAACGAGUUAAAAAAAUCUUCAUAAUAAAAAAUUUAUUUAUUUUUUAUCACCAAUGUAAACAUAUAUCACCAUUGUAUAUAUAUAUCACCAUUGCAAACAUCUAUCACCAGUGUAUAUAUCUAUUAUCCUACUGUUUUUAUAUAUAUCACCAAUAUAAAUAUCUAUCACCUCACUGUAUUUAUCACUACACUAUAUAUUACCAAUAUAUUAAAAUCUCCAAACUGAAUAUACAUGUAUCUAACACCACUCUGUAUAUUUAUCAACACUCUAUAAAUCUAUCAACACACUAUAUAAUAAUCACCAUUCUGUAUUAAUCACCACUUUGUACAACACUGUAUAUCUCUAUCACCAUGCUAUAUAUUUAUCACCAUUCUGUAUUAAUCACCACUUUGUACAACACUGUAUUUAUCUAUCACCAUGCUAUAUAUUUAUCCCCACUCUAUAAAUCUAUCAACAUAUGUUUAUAUCUAAAACCGCUGUAUAUAUUUAUCACCAUUCUGUAUUUAUUGCCACUCUGUAAAAGGCUGUAAAUAUAUUCUGUCACCAUACUUUAUAUAUCUGUCACCAGACUUAAUAUUUCUGUCAAUACACUUAACAUAUCCAUCACCACACUUUAUAUAUCAAUCACCUGGCUAUAUAUAUCUAUCACCUGAUCACUUUAUAUAUCAAUCACCUCACUAUAUAUAUCUGUCACCAUACUUUAUAUAUAACUCACCACACUUAAUAUAUAUGUCACCUCACUAUAUAUAUCUGCCACCAUACUUUAUAUAUCUGUCACCAUACUUUAUAUAUCUGUCACCAUACUUUAUAUAUCUGUCAUAACACUUAACAUAUCUAUCACCACACUUUAUAUAUCCAUUACCUCACUAUAUAUAUCUAUCACCUCACUUUAUAUAUCUAUCACUACUCUUUAUAUAUCUGUCACCAAACUAUAUAUCUAUCCCCACACUUUAUAUAUUCAUCACCUCACUAUAUAUCUGUCACCAUACUUUAUAUAUCUGUCACCAUACUUUAUAUAUCUGUCACCAGACUUUAUAUAUCUGUCACCAUACUUUAUAUAUCUGUCACCAUACUUUAUAUAUCUGUCACCAGACUUUAUAUAUCUGUCACCAUACUUUAUAUGUCUGUCACCAUACUUUAUAUAUCUGUCACUAUACUUUAUAUAUCUGUCACCAUACUUUAUAUAUCUAUCACUAUACUUUAUAUAUCUGUCACCAUACUUUAUAUAUCUGUCACUAUACUUUAUAUAUCUGUCACUAUACUUUAUAUAUCUGUCACCAUACUUAACAUAUCUUUCACCAGACUUAAUAUUUCUGUCAAUACACUUAACAUAUCCAUCACCACACUUUAUAUAUCAAUCACCUCACUAUAUAUAUCUAUCACCUGAUCACUUUAUAAAUCAAUCAUCUCACUAUAUAUAUCUGUCACCAUACUUUAUAUAUAUGUCACCACACUUUAUAUAUCCAUCACCUCACUAUAUAUAUCUGUCACCAUACUUUAUAUAUCUGUCACUAUACUUUAUAAAUCUGUCAUUACACUUAAACAUAUCCAUCAUCACACUUUAUAUAUCCAUCACCUCACUAUAUAUAUCUAUCACCUCACUUUAUAUAUCUAUCACUACUCUUUAUAUAUCUGUCACAAGACUAUAAAUCUAUCCCCACACUUUAUAUAUCCAUCACCUCACUAUAUAUCUGUCAUCAUACUUUAUAUAUCCAUCACCUCACUAUAUAUAUCUGUCACCAUACUUUAUAUAUCUGUCACCAGACUUAAUAUUUUUGUUAAUACACUUAACAUAUCCAUCACCACACUUUAUAUAUCAAUAACCUCACUAUAUAUAUCUGUCACCAGACUUUAUAUGUCUGUCACCAGACUUAAUAUAUCUGUCACCACACUUAACAUGUCCAUCACCACACUUUAUAUGUCUGUCACCAGACUUAAUAUAUCUGUCACCACACUUAACAUGUCCAUCACCACACUUUAUAUAUCAAUCUCCUCACUACAUAUAUCUGUGACCAGACUUUAUAUAUCCAUCACCUUACUAUAUAUAUCUGUCACCAGACUUUAUAUAUCAAUCACCUCACUAUAUAUAUCUGUCACCACACUUAACAUAUUCAUCAUCAGACUUUAUAUAUCUGUCACCAUACUUUAUAUAUCUGUCACCACACCUUAUAUAACUGUCACCAGACUUUUUAUAUCUAUCACCACACCUUAUAUAUCUGUCACCAGACUUUUUUAUCUAUCACCAUACUUUAUAUAUCUGUCACCACACCUUAUAUAUAUCCAUCACCAGACAUUAUAUAUCCAUCACGUUACUAUAUAUAUAUAUAUCUAUCACCGCACUUUAUAUAUCUAUCACUACAUUUUAUAUAUCUGUCACCAGACUUUAAAUAUCUAUCCCUACAUUUAAAAUAUCUGUCACCACACUUUAUAUAUCUGUCACCACACUUUAUAUAUCUGUGACCACACCUUAUAUAUCUGUCACCAGACUAAACAUAUCUAUCACCACACUAUUUAUCUGUCACCACACUUUAUAUAUCUGUCACCACACCUUAUAUAUCUGUCACCAGACUGUAUGUAUCUAUCACCACACCUUAUUUAUCUGUCACCACACUUUAUUUAUCUAUCACCACACUUUUUAUAUCUAUCACCAAACCUUAUAUAUAUGUCACCAUACUUUAUAUAUAUAUGUCACCAUACUUUAUAUAUAUGUCACCCCACUUUAUAUAUCUGUCUCCACACUUUAUAUAAGUUUUUCACCUCACUUUUUAUAUCUGUCACCACACAUUAUAUAUACAUCACCACAUAUUUACUAUCUAUCUCACUUUAUAUAUCUUUCACCUUAAUUUAUAUAUCUAUUUCCUCAUUUUAUAUAUAUAUAUGACAUCCCUGAAAAUAUUUUCUUGACCUCACUGUUGAUAAUUUUUCACCAUAUUUUAUAUAUGUAUCCCCUCCACAUAUGUAUCUUUUAACUAAAUGCACUGCUUAAAUCAAUCAAUCACAACACCAUUGAUAUAUAUGUCACCACACAGUAUAUAUAUAUAUAUAUAUCAUCCUUUUGUUUAUAUAUCAUCACACUGUAUAUAUCUUUAUACUAUUCUGUGGAUCCUUUACCUCACUGUAUAUAUACACAUAACCCCACUAUAACUAAGUCCACACUUAUCACCUAUCUAUAUCUAUAUAUCACCAUCAUAUCAUAUUUAUAGUAACACAAUGAUUAUAUCUAUCAUCAUUCUUUAUCUAUUUUUCACCAGACUGUAUACUAUAACUUGUUGUAUCUUCUAUAAGUCAGAGAAAUGUACUGGUCAUUGUAUAAUUUACAGUGGAAGGAGAUAUGCAGAUAUGCAAUGUCCACUGAGAUAUGUUUGUAUAAGCUUGUAUACUUAUCAUGUAGCAAUUAUCAAAUUGAUUAUUUAUAUUUGUGUUCUUCUUACAGAAAUACCAAACAACAUUUUGCAAGGAUUUAGAGGUCAUUGGUGAAAAUGGAAGAAAGGACAUGGGUACAUCUAAUUUUAAAUGAAAUAACAAGAAUAGUUAAAUGAUUUACAACCAAGCAGCACUCAGCAAUAGUGAUGGUAAAGUAUUUUUAUAAAAUGAUACUCAAAAAAAGAUAUAUACAGUGUGGUGGUUUAUAUAUUCCUCCAUUGCUACAGUCGCUGCAUUCAUCACCACACUCUCCAUAUAUAUCCCAACAGUCUCAAUAGGUACCCCCAUACUAUGAUUAUCUAUCACUACAGUCUCAAUAGCUAUUUCCAUACUAUGAUUAUAUAUCACUACAGUCUCAAUAUCUAUCCUCAUACCAUGAUUAUCUAUCACUACAGUCUCAAUAGCUAUACCCAUACUAUGAUUAUCUAUCACUACACUCUCCAUUCAGAUGCCAACAGUCAUUAUGUAUAUAUCAUAAUAGUCUCUAUGUAUAUCUCAGGAUAAUACAAAAGCUUCCCCUUUACUUUAUUUAUCAAUCACCUCACUUUAUAUAUCAAUCACCACACUCUCUAUAUAUAUAUCCCCAUACUCUCUAUAUCUACCCCAAAAGUCUCUAUGUUAUCCACAUAAUAACACCUUAGAUCACCUUACUUUAUUUAUCAAUCACCUCACUUUAUAUAUCAAUCACCACACUCUAUAUAUAUAUCCCCAACUCUCUAUAUCUGCCUCAAAAGUCUCUCUGUAUAUAUCUCCACACAAUAAACCUUUAUCACCUUACUUUAUUUAUCAAUCACCUCACUUUAUAUAUCAAUCACCACACACUCUCUAUAUAUAUUCCCAUACUUUCGAUAUCUAUCCCCACAGUUUCUAUGUUUAUGACCACAUUAUAAACACCUAUCACCUUACUUUUUUUAUCAACCACCUCACUACAUAUAUCAAUCACCACAUACUCUCUAUAUAUAUCUCCAUUCUCUCUAUAUUUACCCAAAAUUCUCUAUGUAUAUCUCCACACAAUAUACCAUAUCACCUUACUGGAAAUACCAAUAACCUCACUUUGUAAAUCAAUUGCUCAUUUCAUAUGUAUCACCUCACUCAGAAUAUCUAUCAGUUCACUGUUAAUAUUUUCACCUCAAUUUAUACAUUAUGUCUUUCACACCACUGGGUAUAUCUCUCAAAGCCCUAUUUAUUCCAACUUGAAAGUGGAUAUGAGUAUGAUAAUAAUCCAUGUUUCUGUACAGAAAUCUGUUUAUGUUAAUUUAGAUUUUAAACUUAAAAUGACUCAAUGUGACACCUAUCAUUGUUAUUAUUUUUUUUCUUCAGAAAAGUGAAACAAGAUUUUUGAUAGAUAGAAAAUAGGAGAAAAGGAAAAGGUAAUCUUCAUUGAAAUUUAAAGUAUUAUACAUAUGUAUGUUAAGAGUUAAUUAGCAAAGUAUUAUACAUAUGUAUGUAAAGAGUUAAUUAGCAAAGUAUUAUACAUAUGUAUGUAAAGAGUUAAUAAGCACUUAAACAAUCCUGGUUGAAAUGAAAUAAUUUAAAAGAAAUGUUUUUUAAAGUAUAACCGCUCCAACACUGUCAUGCAAUAUUUUAUGUAAAUAUCAUGUCAGGCAUCUUUUCAGUAAAAGCAGCAAAUAUGAUAUACUAACUGGGGGUCAAUGAUUGUAACAUUCAAAAUGAGUAAACCUUAUAAAUAUAUUGUUUCAGUGUUAUUGCACUUGAAGCAUUGUCUACAGUAUACAUCUGCUGGCACACACAUAAUGUAUAUACCACCACCACAUAUUAUGUAUCUACUGCCACACAUAAUAUAAUUAUGGCCACAUAUAAUAUAUCGACCGCCACACAUAAUAAAUCAACACACUGUGUAUAUCUAUCACCAUAUUAUGUUUGUCUAUCACCACACUAUUGUUUAUCACCACAUUAUUGUCUAUCACCACACUAUCUUAUUUGUCUAUCACCACACUAUGUGUUGUUCUAUCACCACACUAUGUUUGUCUAUCACCACACUAUGUUUGUCUAUCACCACACUAUCUUUGUCUAUCACCACACUACGUUUGUCUAUCACCACACUAUGUUUUUCUCUCACCAUUCUAUGUUUGUCUAUCACCACACUUUAUAUUUUAAUCAUCACAGUUGUAAAGCAAAGAAAAGUAAUUACCCAAGAAAAAAAUGAUUUGAACUUUUCAUUUAAAUGAUUGGUCUCACAAAUGAAUUGUAUUUCUAUAAGUUUUACAUUUUGAUACUGUCUUGGGAUUCUGCCAUUGCAAUGAUGAAAACACUCCUAUUUGUCCUUAGAUGGAAAACAAAUGACAACUGUUUGGGACUUUUAAAUUUUGUAUUGUUUUGGAAUAAUUAUUUAUUCAACUGAACCAUAUUGUUAUGUUUUAGGUUAAACAAGAUUUAGUGCCUGCCACACAAUUAAGAAAGAAUGAGAGGCAAGAAUGUCUACAGAACAGAGGAGAUUAUUUGUACUGCACUUCGAUUUGUGUUAUAGUUAUAUUCAAUUAGUAUUAAAGAGUUAUGUACAAUAAAUCAUGUUAUAUUAUGUUCUUUAAAAAAUACU